GUGAUUAAAUCGAGCGUGUCUUCAUUGACCGCUCACCCUUCACAUCCACAUACACCUGUGCACCGUUCUGAAGCGGAGAGUUAUUAGGCAUUGGCCGAGCGCCUCCCUUCGGUUAUUAUAUCAACCUCAAACUGCGUUUACCAGAAUGUCUACCGUCUUGUUGUAACGACAAGUACAAUCCAAUA
RNAcentral lists this unclassified non-coding RNA (185 nucleotides) under uncultured Geminibasidium. Its description in RNAcentral is "sequence contains ITS1". The record is from RNAcentral. Lineage: Eukaryota; Fungi; Basidiomycota; Geminibasidiomycetes; Geminibasidiales; Geminibasidiaceae.